Molecule: ribosomal RNA, 652 nt
Filed under: uncultured euryarchaeote
Lineage: Archaea; Methanobacteriati; Methanobacteriota
Description: bacterial SSU rRNA
Rfam family: Archaeal small subunit ribosomal RNA
Source: RNAcentral
UUGAUCCUGCUGGAGGGUACUGCUAUCGGAGUUUGACUAAGCCAUGCAAGUCUAACCCUAGGACUUCCUGGGGUGGCAAAAUGCUGAGUAACACGUAGUCAAUCUACCCUGUGGCCGGGGAUAACCUUGAGAAAUUGAGGACAAUACCCGAUAUUCCACCUAUGCUGGAAUGCUUGGAGGUUUAAACGGGCUGUGAAUUGGAACAGUUCCGCCAUAGGACGAGACUGCGGGGGAUUAUGGUUGUUGGUAGGGUAAUGGCCUACCAAGCCGAUAAUCUCUAGGGGCCAUGAGAGUGGUGGCCCCCAGAAGGGCACUGAGACAAGGGCCCUAGCCCUACGGGGUGCAGCAGGCGCGAAACCUCUACAAUGCUGGAAACAGUGAUAGGGGAACUCCGAGUGGCGUCGGCUAAGCCGGCGUCUUUUGCCAAGUGUAAAUAGCUUGGAGAAUAAGGGUGUGGGCAAGACUGGUGGCAGCCGCCGCGGUAACACCAGCGCCUCGAGUGGUACCCACGAAUACUGGGCCUAGAGCGUUCGUAGCCGGCCAGAUAAGUCUUCUGUGAAAUAGUGUGGCUUAACCUCACUGCGCGCAGGAGAUACUGUUUGGCUUGGGAACGGGGGAGGUCAGGAGUACACCCGGGGUAGGGGUAAAAUCC